GACGGAGGGAGCAAGCGUUGUUCGGAUUUACUGGGCGUAAAGGGCGUCUAGGCGGAUCGGUCAGUCAGGUGUGAAACCCCCCGGCUCAACCGGGGAUCUGCACUUGAUACUGCCAAUCUUGAGUACGGAAGAGGAAAGCGGAAUUCCUGGUGUAGCGGUGAAAUGCGUAGAUAUCAGGAAGAACACCGGUGGCGAAGGCGGCUUUCUGGUCCGAUACUGACGCUGAAGCGCGAAAGUGUGGGGAGCAAACAGGAUUAGAUACCCUGGUAGUCCACACCGUAAACGAUGGAUACUAGGUGUCGGGGGUAUCGACCCCCCCGGUGCCGCAGCUAACGCAUUAAGUAUCCCGCCUGGGGAGUACGGUCGCAAGGCUG
Molecule: ribosomal RNA, 374 nt
Filed under: uncultured prokaryote
Description: bacterial SSU rRNA
Rfam family: Bacterial small subunit ribosomal RNA
Source: RNAcentral